This is a long non-coding RNA of Apteryx owenii (little spotted kiwi), 706 nucleotides long. NCBI's taxonomy places the organism in Eukaryota, Metazoa, Chordata, Aves, Apterygiformes, Apterygidae. The record is from Ensembl.
CACGCUUCCAAACUCUCUGCAUCAAGAAUUUGCUUGGCCAACAUCUCUGCAAGCUUGUGCAGGAGUGAAGAGGUUUGAUGCCUUCUAGAUGAAAGGCUAGAAUCAAUUUUUCUAGCACAAGGUACUUCAGAGUUGGCUAAACAACGGUGUUUGAAGAACUUCCCUUCUCUGACUAAUGAUUUGACUACCUUGGUCAAGAAGAACAUCAGCUGUUCAGAGCUCACACAAAAGAGAUCAAUCAGUUCCACAGGUCUUGGCUUCAGAAUCCUUUAGGAUGUCCAGCAUUUCUUGAUAGUAGCUACCUAGGAAGGAAUUUCCUGCUGAUCUAAUUGCCUCUAAGUAUGAUAUGCCACUAUUAGACCAUCUUCACAUUUUCUAAAUUGCUCUGCUCUGGUCACCGGCAAGAAUGCAGUUAUCUCUGCUGUGUGUGCUUCCGUUCUCUGGAUGUUGCUGGUUCUUGCACCAUGUGGAUAAUCGGGAUUUUUUAAGUCCUUCCCCAGCUGUGCUGCAGAAGGUGAAAACUGUAUUAAGCUCUAAAAAGAGAAAAAGCCACCCAGAGACACUGUGCAACCUUACGGCUUCCAUCCUUUGCUGUUCCUUCUUCCCCUCCCUGAGCCUCUUUGAACUCUCUUCCUUAUGGGACAAUGUGGUGAACCUCCUUUCAUUUGCACAGUACAAUCUUCACAUCUUCAGAGGCAUGUUCUAA